GCGCUUGGUAUGUGGUGCGUAGACCGCGCAGCAGUUACCGCCUGCUCAGCGGUAGGCCGCAGGUUCGAUUGCUGCACGGGGCGCA
This 85-nucleotide transfer RNA is filed under the name Actinomycetes bacterium. RNAcentral's name for it is "tRNA-Ser". The record is from RNAcentral. Lineage: Bacteria; Bacillati; Actinomycetota; Actinomycetes.